This 253-nucleotide ribosomal RNA is filed under the name uncultured bacterium. RNAcentral's name for it is "partial 16S ribosomal RNA". It matches the Rfam family "Bacterial small subunit ribosomal RNA", at positions 524 to 776 of the family's 1533-position model. The record is from RNAcentral.
UACGUAGGGUGCGAGCGUUAAUCGGAAUUACUGGGCGUAAAGCGUGCGCAGGCGGUGGCUCAAGCCAGGCGUGAAAUCCCCGGGCUUAACCUGGGAAUGGCGUUUGGGACUGGGUCGCUAGAGUGUGGCAGAGGGGGGUGGAAUUCCACGUGUAGCAGUGAAAUGCGUAGAUAUGUGGAGGAACACCAAUGGCGAAGGCAGCCCCCUGGGUCAACACUGACGCUCAUGCACGAAAGCGUGGGGAGCAAACAGG